GACGAACGCUGGCGGCGUGCUUAACACAUGCAAGUCGAACGGAAAGGCCCUGCUUUUGUGGGGUGCUCGAGUGGCGAACGGGUGAGUAACACGUGAGUAACCUGCCCUUGACUUUGGGAUAACUUCAGGAAACUGGGGCUAAUACCGGAUAUGAGCUCCUGCUGCAUGGUGGGGGUUGGAAAGUUUCGGCGGUUGGGGAUGGACUCGCGGCUUAUCAGCUUGUUGGUGGGGGAGUGGCUUACCAAGGCUUUGACGGGUAGCCGGCCUGAGAGGGUGACCGGCCACAUUGGGACUGAGAUACGGCCCAGACUCCUACGGGGGGCAGCAGUGGGGAAUAUUGCACAAUGGGCGGAAGCCUGAUGCAGCAACGCCGCGUGCGGGAUGACGGCCUUCGGGUUGUAAACCGCUUUCGCCUGUGACGAAGCGUGAGUGACGGUAAUGGGUAAAGAAGCACCGGCUAACUACGUG
RNAcentral lists this ribosomal RNA (468 nucleotides) under uncultured bacterium. Its description in RNAcentral is "partial 16S ribosomal RNA". It matches the Rfam family "Bacterial small subunit ribosomal RNA", at positions 28 to 507 of the family's 1533-position model. The record is from RNAcentral.